This 253-nucleotide ribosomal RNA is filed under the name uncultured bacterium. RNAcentral describes it as "partial 16S ribosomal RNA". It matches the Rfam family "Bacterial small subunit ribosomal RNA", at positions 524 to 776 of the family's 1533-position model. The record is from RNAcentral.
UACGAAGGGGGCUAGCGUUGUUCGGAUUUACUGGGCGUAAAGCGCGCGUAGGCGGUUUGUUAAGUCUGGGGUGAAAUCCUGGAGCUCAACUCCAGAACUGCCUUUGAUACUGGCAAUCUUGAGUCCGGAAGAGGUGAGUGGAACUCCUAGUGUAGAGGUGGAAUUCGUAGAUAUUAGGAAGAACACCAGUGGCGAAGGCGGCUCACUGGUCCGGUACUGACGCUGAGGCGCGAAAGCUAGGGGAGCAAACGGG